Molecule: ribosomal RNA, 460 nt
Filed under: uncultured bacterium
Lineage: Bacteria
Description: partial 16S ribosomal RNA
Rfam family: Bacterial small subunit ribosomal RNA
Source: RNAcentral
CCUACGGGUGUCAGCAGUGAGGAAUAUUGGUCAAUGGCCGUAAGGCUGAACCAGCCAAGUAGCGUGAGGGAAGACUGCUCUAUGGGUUGUAAACCUCUUUUAUGGGGGGAUAAAGGUGUCCACGUGUGGAUGUUUGCAGGUACCGCAUGAAUAAGCAUCGGCUAAUUCCGUGCCAGCAGCCGCGGUAAUACGGAGGAUGCGAGCGUUAUCCGGAUUUAUUGGGUUUAAAGGGAGCGUAGGUGGGUUGUUAAGUCAGUUGUGAAAGUUUGUGGCUCAACCGUAAAAUUGCAAUUGAUACUGACAGUCUUGAGUAUAUUUGAGGUAGGCGGAAUUCGUGGUGUAGCGGUGAAAUGCUUAGAUAUCACGCAGAACUCCGAUUGCGAAGGCAGCUUACUAAACCACCACUGACAUUGAUGCUCGAAAGCGUGGGUAUCAAACAGGAUUAGAUACCCUUGUAGUC